Molecule: ribosomal RNA, 253 nt
Filed under: uncultured bacterium
Lineage: Bacteria
Description: partial 16S ribosomal RNA
Rfam family: Bacterial small subunit ribosomal RNA
Source: RNAcentral
UACGUAGGUGGCGAGCGUUGUCCGGAUUUACUGGGCGUAAAGGGAGCGUAGGCGGAUUUUUAAGUGAGAUGUGAAAUACUCGGGCUCAACUUGAGUGCUGCAUUUCAAACUGGAAGUCUAGAGUGCAGGAGAGGAGAGUGGAAUUCCUAGUGUAGCGGUGAAAUGCGUAGAGAUUAGGAAGAACACCAGUGGCGAAGGCGAUUCUCUGGACUGUAACUGACGCUGAGGCUCGAAAGCGUGGGGAGCAAACAGG